UACGUAGGGGGCAAGCGUUGUCCGGAAUCACUGGGCGUAAAGCGCGCGCAGGCGGUCAUCUACGUCUGGGGUGAAAGCCCGGGGCUCAACCCCGGGAGGCGGGUGGAUACUGCUCAGCUCGAGUCCGGAAGAGGAGUGUGGAAUUCCUGGUGUAGCGGUGAAAUGCGCAGAUAUCAGGAGGAACACCAAUGGCGAAGGCAGCACUCUGGGACGGUACUGACGCUGAGACGCGAAAGCGUGGGGAGCGAACAGG
Molecule: ribosomal RNA, 253 nt
Filed under: uncultured bacterium
Lineage: Bacteria
Description: partial 16S ribosomal RNA
Rfam family: Bacterial small subunit ribosomal RNA
Source: RNAcentral